UACGAAGGGGGCUAGCGUUUUUCGGAAUUACUGGGCGUAAAGCGCACGUAGGUGGCGACGUAAGUCGGGUGUGAAAGCCCCGGGCUCAACCUGGGAAUUGCAUUCGAGACUGCAUUGCUGGAGUACGGAAGAGGAGGGCGGAAUUCCCGGUGUAGCGGUGAAAUGCGUAGAUAUCGGGAGGAACAUCAGUGGCGAAGGCGGCCCUCUGGUCCAGUACUGACACUCAAGUGCGAAAGCAUGGGGAGCAAACAGG
This 253-nucleotide ribosomal RNA is filed under the name uncultured bacterium. RNAcentral describes it as "partial 16S ribosomal RNA". It matches the Rfam family "Bacterial small subunit ribosomal RNA", at positions 524 to 776 of the family's 1533-position model. The record is from RNAcentral.